CUUCCUCGAUCUGCUGCGGGCAGAUGAAGUGGAUAUGGGCAUCCAUGCCGCCGGCCGUGAGAAUUUUGCCUUCGCCGGCGAUAACCUCUGUCGAUGGUCCGACGAUGAUCGUCACACCCGGCUGCGUGUCCGGAUUGCCGGCCUUGCCGAUCCCGGCGAUCCGGCCGUUCUUCAGGCCGACAUCGGCCUUGACGAUCCCCCAGUGAUCGACGACCAGCGCGUUGGUGAUCACCGUAUCGACCGCGCCCUCGGCACGGGUCGCCUGGCUCUGGCCCAUGCCGUCGCGGAUG
Molecule: small RNA, 290 nt
Filed under: Pararhizobium antarcticum
Lineage: Bacteria; Pseudomonadati; Pseudomonadota; Alphaproteobacteria; Hyphomicrobiales; Rhizobiaceae
Description: 5' ureB small RNA
Rfam family: 5' ureB small RNA
Source: Rfam by way of RNAcentral